RNAcentral lists this ribosomal RNA (524 nucleotides) under uncultured bacterium. Its description in RNAcentral is "partial 16S ribosomal RNA". It matches the Rfam family "Bacterial small subunit ribosomal RNA", at positions 28 to 523 of the family's 1533-position model. The record is from RNAcentral.
GACGAACGCUGGCGGCGUGCCUAAUACAUGCAAGUCGAACGCUUCUUUUUCCACCGGAGCUUGCUCCACCGGAAAAAGAGGAGUGGCGAACGGGUGAGUAACACGUGGGUAACCUGCCCAUCAGAAGGGGAUAACACUUGGAAACAGGUGCUAAUACCGUAUAACAAUCAAAACCGCAUGGUUUUGAUUUGAAAGGCGCUCUCGGGUGUCGCUGAUGGAUGGACCCGCGGUGCAUUAGCUAGUUGGUGAGGUAACGGCUCACCAAGGCCACGAUGCAUAGCCGACCUGAGAGGGGGAUCGGCCACAUUGGGACUGAGACACGGCCCAAACUCCUACGGGAGGCAGCAGUAGGGAAUCGUCGGCAAUGGACGAAAGUCUGACCGAGCAACGCCGCGUGAGUGAAGAAGGUUUUCGGAUCGUAAAACUCUGUUGUUAGAGAAGAACAAGGAUGAGAGUAACUGUUCAUCCCUUGACGGUAUCUAACCAGAAAGCCACGGCUAACUACGUGCCAGCCGCCGCAGUAA